AUUGAACGCUGGCGGCAUGCCUUACACAUGCAAGUCGAACGGCAGCACGGGUGCUUGCACCUGGUGGCGAGUGGCGAACGGGUGAGUAAUACAUCGGAACAUGUCCUGUAGUGGGGGAUAGCCCGGCGAAAGCCGGAUUAAUACCGCAUACGAUCUACGGAUGAAAGCGGGGGACCUUCGGGCCUCGCGCUAUAGGGUUGGCCGAUGGCUGAUUAGCUAGUUGGUGGGGUAAAGGCCUACCAAGGCGACGAUCAGUAGCUGGUCUGAGAGGACGACCAGCCACACUGGGACUGAGACACGGCCCAGACUCCUACGGGAGGCAGCAGUGGGGAAUUUUGGACAAUGGGCGAAAGCCUGAUCCAGCAAUGCCGCGUGUGUGAAGAAGGCCUUCGGGUUGUAAAGCACUUUUGUCCGGAAAGAAAUCCUUGGCUCUAAUACAGUCGGGGGAUGACGGUACCGGAAGAAUAAGCACCGGCUAACUACGUGCCAGCAGCCGCGGUAAUACGUAGGGUGCGAGCGUUAAUCGGAAUUACUGGGCGUAAAGCGUGCGCAGGCGGUUUGCUAAGACCGAUGUGAAAUCCCCGGGCUCAACCUGGGAACUGCAUUGGUGACUGGCAGGCUAGAGUAUGGCAGAGGGGGGUAGAAUUCCACGUGUAGCAGUGAAAUGCGUAGAGAUGUGGAGGAAUACCGAUGGCGAAGGCAGCCCCCUGGGCCAAUACUGACGCUCAUGCACGAAAGCGUGGGGAGCAAACAGGAUUAGAUACCCUGGUAGUCCACGCCCUAAACGAUGUCAACUAGUUGUUGGGGAUUCAUUUCCUUAGUAACGUAGCUAACGCGUGAAGUUGACCGCCUGGGGAGUACGGUCGCAAGAUUAAAACUCAAAGGAAUUGACGGGGACCCGCACAAGCGGUGGAUGAUGUGGAUUAAUUCGAUGCAACGCGAAAAACCUUACCUACCCUUGACAUGGUCGGAAUCCCGCUGAGAGGUGGGAGUGCUCGAAAGAGAACCGGCGCACAGGUGCUGCAUGGCUGUCGUCAGCUUGUGUCGUGAGAUGUUGGGUUAAGUCCCGCAACGAGCGCAACCCUUGUCCUUAGUUGCUACGCAAGAGCACUCUAAGGAGACUGCCGGUGACAAACCGGAGGAAGGUGGGGAUGACGUCAAGUCCUCAUGGCCCUUAUGGGUAGGGCUUCACACGUCAUACAAUGGUCGGAACAGAGGGUUGCCAACCCGCGAGGGGGAGCUAAUCCCAGAAAACCGAUCGUAGUCCGGAUUGCACUCUGCAACUCGAGUGCAUGAAGCUGGAAUCGCUAGUAAUCGCGGAUCAGCAUGCCGCGGUGAAUACGUUCCCGGGUCU
Molecule: ribosomal RNA, 1354 nt
Filed under: uncultured bacterium
Lineage: Bacteria
Description: bacterial SSU rRNA
Rfam family: Bacterial small subunit ribosomal RNA
Source: RNAcentral